RNAcentral lists this transfer RNA (65 nucleotides) under Epeorus aculeatus. Its description in RNAcentral is "tRNA-Pro". RNAcentral also lists the same sequence under 2 other names. Lineage: Eukaryota; Metazoa; Arthropoda; Insecta; Ephemeroptera; Heptageniidae. The record is from RNAcentral.
CAGAGGGUAGUUUAUAAAAAUAUUAGUUUUGGGGACUAAAGAUAGGGCAGAAGCUUUACCUCUGA